Non-coding RNA from Oryctolagus cuniculus (rabbit), 1193 nucleotides. NCBI's taxonomy places the organism in Eukaryota, Metazoa, Chordata, Mammalia, Lagomorpha, Leporidae. The record is from RefSeq and is a predicted model, not a curated record.
CGGGGCGGAGGACGGCGACUUCCGUCCGCUGUGUGAGGAGGGGGCCGUGGUCAGUCAGAGGCGGAACCAACCAGGACGGCGACUUCCACCCACACUGUGAGAAGGAGGCCGUGGUCAGAGGCCGUGGUCAGUCAGAGGUGGAGGGGCCGAGGACGGCAACUUCCGUCCGCUGUGUGAGGAGGAGGCCGUGGUCAGUCAGAGGCGGGGUCAACAAGGACGGCGACUUCGGUUCCCUGUGUGAGGAGGCGGCCGUGGUCAGUCGUUGGGCGAGGAGCGGAGCAGCAUGACCCCCGUCCUUGGUGCCCAUGAGGAGGCAGUAGUUUCCAGUCAGCAGUUGUGUCUACGCAGGGGAAGGCGAGGACACUGAAUCCAAAGAGGAGUCAGAAAAAGCAUGGCCUUAGGGCUGUGCCGGUGACCCACAGCCAUGCCGCCUGCCUCUCAGAGUCGGGUCCACACGUGGCGGUACAAUGACGUUAAAGAAUAAAAAACAAGAAGGAAAGGAGGGAAAAGAAACGAAAGAAUAAAUGAUGCACAAGACUUCUAAACAAAGUCAUGUUUCCUGUCUGAAAUCUCCGUUGGGCAGCCUGCUGUUACUGCAUGGGAAGGACUGUUUUCCCAAGGGCUUUGCUGGAGGUGCACAGGAAAUCACAGCUGCCCCACUUAUAAAAGUUCCCUGUUUUCAUGAACAUUUUGAAGCCCUCUCGUGAAUCCCAAGUCCAUGGUUACCAUCUUACUCAAAUGUGAAAAGUCGAAGCUUUUCCUCUCAUAUCAGGAACAAGUUGAGGAUGCCCCUUUUGCCACUGCUAUUCAACAUGGCAGCAACAGACCCAGGCUACACAGACUAAGGUAUUUACAAGUCAUUCGUCUAUGAGAAGACAUAAUCUCAAGUGGAUUAUAGCAGGAGACUGAAGACCUUCUCCAAGGCCCUUCUUAUCCCUGAAUCAGGUCUAACUGCAUACCGUAUACCUUACAGUUUGGAGUUCCGUCUAGGCGUUUAUUGCAGAUAACUGAUGCAUCAGAAGGGAUUGAAUGUCUAGGAGGAUCUAGUCCAUCAAACAGCUCAACCAUCAGUGAGGUCAUUUUGAGCAGAGGUCAUUUAUCACAGAUUUCCAAGAAUAUAGCAAUCGCCAGCCACCAGCGGGACCACCAGGAAACUGGCUUUUUUGUAUCAAUAAAUCUAAAACCACCACAGA